Molecule: ribosomal RNA, 63 nt
Filed under: Eudiplozoon nipponicum
Lineage: Eukaryota; Metazoa; Platyhelminthes; Monogenea; Mazocraeidea; Diplozoidae
Description: partial 28S ribosomal RNA
Source: RNAcentral
UUUAAACACCUGACCUCGGAUUAGGCGUGAUUACCCGCUGAACUUAAGCAUAUAAAUAAGCGG